RNAcentral lists this long non-coding RNA (329 nucleotides) under Pongo abelii (Sumatran orangutan). RNAcentral's name for it is "lincRNA". The record is from RNAcentral. Lineage: Eukaryota; Metazoa; Chordata; Mammalia; Primates; Hominidae.
CAUGAAAAACAACUGAAAGCAUUGUAAUGAGGAUUUCUUAAGUCUGGAAUCUGGGUACUGGAAGUCUUAGGCCAAAGCCACGUUUUUUUUUUUGUUUUUUUUUUUAAACAGAGUCUUGCUCUGUCCCCAGGCUGGACUGCAGUGGCGAUCUCAGCUCACUGCAACCUCCGACUCCCGGUUUCAAGCCAUUCGCUUGCCUCAGCCUCCCGAGUAGCUGGGAUUACAGGCAUGCGCCACCACGCCCAGUUAAUUUUUGUAUUUUUAGUAAAGAUGGGGUUUCACCAUGUUGGCCAGGAGGCUGAGGCAGGACAAUGGCGUAAACCCGGGAG